GAUGAACGCUAGCGGCAGGCUUAAUACAUGCAAGUCGAGGGGCAGCACGAGUAGCAAUACUUGGUGGCGACCGGCGCACGGGUGCGUAACACGUAUACAAUCUACCUUAAACAGGGGGAUAGCCUUUCGAAAGAGAGAUUAAUACCCCGUAAUAUAUUGAGUGGCAUCAUUUGAUAUUGAAAGCUCCGGCGGUUUGAGAUGAGUAUGCGUCUGAUUAGCUAGUUGGUGGUGUAAUGGACCACCAAGGCGACGAUCGGUAGGGGAUCUGAGAGGACUAACCCCCACACUGGUACUGAGACACGGACCAGACUCCUACGGGAGGCAGCAGUAAGGAAUAUUGGUCAAUGGGGGCAACCCUGAACCAGCCAUGCCGCGUGCAGGAAGACGGCCCUAUGGGUUGUAAACUGCUUUUGUACCAGAGAAAACCCGAGUACGUGUACUCGGUUGAUAGUAUGGUAAGAAUAAGCAUCGGCUAACUUCGUGCCAGCAGCCGCGGUAAGACGAAGGAUGCAAGCGUUAUCCGGAUUCAUUGGGUUUAAAGGGUGCGUAGGCGGACUUGUAAGUCAGUGGUGAAAUCUCUCAGCUUAACUGAGAAACUGCCAUUGAUACUGCAGGUCUAGAGUAUAGAUGACGUUGGCGGAAUAUGACAUGUAGUGGUGAAAUACUUAGAUAUGUCAUAGAACACCGAUUGCGAAGGCAGCUAACGAAACUAUAACUGACGCUGAGGCACGAAAGUGCGGGGAUCAAACAGGAUUAGAUACCCUGGUAGUCCGCACCGUAAACGAUGAUUACUCGUUGUUGGCGAUAUGACAGUCAGCGACCAAGCGAAAGCGAUAAGUAAUCCACCUGGGGAGUACGCCGGCAC
RNAcentral lists this ribosomal RNA (865 nucleotides) under uncultured bacterium. Its description in RNAcentral is "bacterial SSU rRNA". It matches the Rfam family "Bacterial small subunit ribosomal RNA", at positions 28 to 891 of the family's 1533-position model. The record is from RNAcentral.